Molecule: ribosomal RNA, 377 nt
Filed under: uncultured bacterium
Lineage: Bacteria
Description: bacterial SSU rRNA
Rfam family: Bacterial small subunit ribosomal RNA
Source: RNAcentral
UAAUACGUAGGAGGCAAGCGUUAUCCGGAUUUAUUGGGCGUAAAGAGGGCGUAGGCGGUCUUUCAAGUUGGAUGUGAAAUCUCCCGGCUCAACUGGGAGGGGGCAUUCAAUACUGUUAGGCUAGAGGGCAGCAGGGGGAGGUGGAAUUCCCGGUGUAGUGGUGAAAUGCGUAGAUAUCGGGAGGAACACCAGUGGCGAAGGCGGCCUCCUGGGCUGUUGCUGACGCUGAGGCCCGAAAGCGUGGGGAGCAAACAGGAUUAGAUACCCUGGUAGUCCACGCUGUAAACGAUGGACACUAUGUAUAGGGAGUAUCGACCCUCUCUGUGCUGAAGCUAACGCUUUAAGUGUCCCGCCUGGGGAGUACGGCCGCAAGGCUA